This is a long non-coding RNA of Hyla sarda, 973 nucleotides long. RefSeq lists it as uncharacterized. Lineage: Eukaryota; Metazoa; Chordata; Amphibia; Anura; Hylidae. The record is from RefSeq and is a predicted model, not a curated record. The transcript has 7 exons.
CAUCACCAAACCGACGCAUCUUUCUGUACGACUAGAGACGAGAUGAUGGCAUUACAGGCACUUGAGGAACUAACGGAGGAAGUGGCUCCAACUAUUAAGGAUUGGUUUCCUAAGUCACUUCUCCCGAAAUCACGCGGUCUCUGACGGCAUCAUCUCAACAAAAGAAAAGAAUUGUUUACUCAUUGAGAAUCCCACUAUUUCAACAUUUUACUUACUUCCUAAAGUUCACAAACAAGCCUCUACACCACCAGGACACAACAGAUGCUCUUCGCAGGAUGGAAUUAUUACAUCUGGAUUCUGAUAUGUGGAUCGUUACCUGUGACGUGGAAUCCCUGUAUACAUCUAUACAUCACGAGGAUGGCCUCAGAGCUACACAGGCGUUCCUGCUCAUGUCCGGAAUGGAUGAAAAUCAAGGGUCGAAGCAUGGGCCAGAUAUAUUGAUGACGUGAUCUUCAUCUGGAAAGGAACCGAGGACGAAUUGAGAACAUUCAUGAGCCACCUUAACUCAAAUGACUUAAACAUCAAGUUGACAUACAAGAUGAGGGAUUCGAAGCAAGGGCAUGUGAACUCUGGGAGCGAUUCCGAGAACGGGGGUACCAGGAAAAUUGGAUCUUGAGGGCAUAUUUAAGGGCCAAACAUACUAAACGCGAGAGUCUUCUGCAAUCAAAACCUAAGAAAGAUGGUGAUAACCAGGGAUGACGACGAGAGAGUUGAAGAAAAGAACAAGGGAACACGUCUUGAGUAUAUUGGCGGCAAACGAAGAAUCGGAUCUACGAAGGCUCACAACAGUUCCACGACAUUUCAAGCUCCACCACAAUUGUGACCCUCGAGGUCUGAUGGUUUGGGAGCUAUUCCGCGUCUACAUGCCAAUUUAAAGUUGUACUUUAAUGGAUUAGGUCAUUGUUCAUGCACCUUAUCUGGGGACAGUUCUACCCUGUCGCCUGGGGUCAUACUUGCACUUUUUUAAUUGUAU